This 255-nucleotide unclassified non-coding RNA is filed under the name rhizosphere metagenome. RNAcentral describes it as "partial ribosomal RNA internal transcribed spacer region". The record is from RNAcentral.
AAUAUCCUUCACCCUGGAUGAAAGUCCGGGUGGACCAGCCUGCUGGGCUCUAAACACGUAAUGCCGGAGCCCGAUCUCCCAGUGUGGGAUCGUUCCGGUACUCGUUACUUCAAACCAUUGUGAACCUCCUGUUGCUUCGGCGGCAUGCUUCGUGCUGUCAGCCCGUCCGAGGCCCACCGAAACCACUUCUGUAAACUUCUGUCAGUAUACGAAGAGUAAAUCGUUAAAACUUUCAACAACGGAUCUCUUGGUUCU